CUCUUGGAAACGGGUGGUAAUGCUGGAUGCUCCAACUUGACGCAUGUCUUGUUGGGAAAGUGUUUAGUGGCAUGGGAUGGGGGUCGCGUCCUAUCAGCUUGUAGGCGGGGUAAUGACCCACCUAGGCUUUGACGGGUAGCCGGCCUGAGAGGGCGGACGGCCACAUUGGGACUGAGAUACGGCCCAGACUCCUACGGGAGGCAGCAGCA
RNAcentral lists this ribosomal RNA (209 nucleotides) under uncultured Gardnerella sp. Its description in RNAcentral is "partial 16S ribosomal RNA". It matches the Rfam family "Bacterial small subunit ribosomal RNA", at positions 147 to 355 of the family's 1533-position model. Lineage: Bacteria; Bacillati; Actinomycetota; Actinomycetes; Bifidobacteriales; Bifidobacteriaceae. The record is from RNAcentral.